This 921-nucleotide ribosomal RNA is filed under the name uncultured archaeon. RNAcentral describes it as "bacterial SSU rRNA". It matches the Rfam family "Archaeal small subunit ribosomal RNA", at positions 1 to 923 of the family's 1478-position model. The record is from RNAcentral.
UUCCGGUUGAUCCUGCCGGAGGUCAUUGCUAUUGGAGUCCGAUUUAGCCAUGCUAGUUGUACGAGUUUGGACUCGUAGCAGAUAGCUCAGUAACACGUGGCCAAACUACCCUAUAGACCCAGACAACCUCGGGAAACUGAGGCUAAUCUGAGAUACGAUUCCCAUGCUGGAAGUGCAGGGAAUCCGAAACGCUUCGGCGCUGUAGGAUGUGGCUGCGGCCGAUUAGGUAGACGGUGGGGUAACGGCCCACCGUGCCAAUAAUCGGUACGGGUUGUGAGAGCAAGAGCCCGGAGACGGUAUCUGAGACAAGAUACCGGGCCCUACGGGGCGCAGCAGGCGCGAAACCUUUACACUGCACGCCAGUGCGAUAAGGGGACUCCGAGUGCGAGGGCAUAUAGUCCUCGCUUUUCACCACCGUAAGGAGGUGGUAGAAUAAGUGCUGGGCAAGACCGGUGCCAGCCGCCGCGGUAAUACCGGCAGCACGAGUGAUGACCGCUAUUAUUGGGCCUAAAGCGUCCGUAGCUGGCCGUGCAAGUCCAUCGGGAAAUCUGCUCGCCUAACGAGCAGGCGUCCGGUGGAACCUGCAUGGCUUGGGACCGGAAGACCAGAGGGGUACGUCUGGGGUAGGAGUGAAAUCCCGUAAUCCUGGACGGACCACCGGUGGCGAAAGCGCCUCUGGAAGACGGAUCCGACGGUGAGGGACGAAAGCUCGGGUCACGAACCGGAUUAGAUACCCGGGUAGUCCGAGCUGUAAACGAUGUCUGCUAGAUGUGCCACAGGCUACGAGCCUGUGGUGUGUCGUAGGGAAGCCGUGAAGCAGACCGCCUGGGAAGUACGUCCGCAAGGAUGAAACUUAAAGGAAUUGGCGGGGGAGCACUACAACCGGAGGAGCCUGCGGUUUAAUUGGAUUCAACGCCGGGG